Molecule: ribosomal RNA, 467 nt
Filed under: uncultured bacterium
Lineage: Bacteria
Description: partial 16S ribosomal RNA
Rfam family: Bacterial small subunit ribosomal RNA
Source: RNAcentral
GACGAACGCUGGCGGCGUGCUUAACACAUGCAAGUCGAACGAUGAAGCCCAGCUUGCUGGGUGGAAGAGUGGCGAACGGGUGAGUAACACGUGAGUAACCUGCCCUGAACUCUGGGAUAAGCACUGGAAACGGUGUCUAAUACUGGAUACGACCUAUCACCGCAUGGUGUGUGGGUGGAAAGAUUUAUCGGUUCUGGAUGGACUCGCGGCCUAUCAGCUAGAUGGUGAGGUAAUGGCUCACCAUGGCGACGACGGGUAGCCGGCCUGAGAGGGUGACCGGCCACACUGGGACUGAGACACGGCCCAGACUCCUACGGGAGGCAGCAGUGGGGAAUAUUGCACAAUGGGCGCAAGCCUGAUGCAGCAACGCCGCGUGAGGGAUGACGGCCUUCGUGUUGUAAACCUCUUUUAGUAGGGAAGAAGCGAAAGUGACGGUACCUGCAGAAAAAGCACCGGCUAACUACGUG